Molecule: ribosomal RNA, 1043 nt
Filed under: Staphylococcus aureus
Lineage: Bacteria; Bacillati; Bacillota; Bacilli; Caryophanales; Staphylococcaceae
Description: partial 23S ribosomal RNA
Rfam family: Bacterial large subunit ribosomal RNA
Source: RNAcentral
GAGUCGUUGAUUUCACACUGCCGAGAAAAGCCUCUAGAUAGAAAAUAGGUGCCCGUACCGCAAACCGACACAGGUAGUCAAGAUGAGAAUUCUAAGGUGAGCGAGCGAACUCUCGUUAAGGAACUCGGCAAAAUGACCCCGUAACUUCGGGAGAAGGGGUGCUCUUUAGGGUUAACGCCCAGAAGAGCCGCAGUGAAUAGGCCCAAGCGACUGUUUAUCAAAAACACAGGUCUCUGCUAAACCGUAAGGUGAUGUAUAGGGGCUGACGCCUGCCCGGUGCUGGAAGGUUAAGAGGAGUGGUUAGCUUCUGCGAAGCUACGAAUCGAAGCCCCAGUAAACGGCGGCCGUAACUAUAACGGUCCUAAGGUAGCGAAAUUCCUUGUCGGGUAAGUUCCGACCCGCACGAAAGGCGUAACGAUUUGGGCACUGUCUCAACGAGAGACUCGGUGAAAUCAUAGUACCUGUGAAGAUGCAGGUUACCCGCGACAGGACGGAAAGACCCCGUGGAGCUUUACUGUAGCCUGAUAUUGAAAUUCGGCACAGCUUGUACAGGAUAGGUAGGAGCCUUUGAAACGUGAGCGCUAGCUUACGUGGAGGCGCUGGUGGGAUACUACCCUAGCUGUGUUGGCUUUCUAACCCGCACCACUUAUCGUGGUGGGAGACAGUGUCAGGCGGGCAGUUUGACUGGGGCGGUCGCCUCCUAAAAGGUAACGGAGGCGCUCAAAGGUUCCCUCAGAAUGGUUGGAAAUCAUUCAUAGAGUGUAAAGGCAUAAGGGAGCUUGACUGCGAGACCUACAAGUCGAGCAGGGUCGAAAGACGGACUUAGUGAUCCGGUGGUUCCGCAUGGAAGGGCCAUCGCUCAACGGAUAAAAGCUACCCCGGGGAUAACAGGCUUAUCUCCCCCAAGAGUUCACAUCGACGGGGAGGUUUGGCACCUCGAUGUCGGCUCAUCGCAUCCUGGGGCUGUAGUCGGUCCCAAGGGUUGGGCUGUUCGCCCAUUAAAGCGGUACGCGAGCUGGGUUCAGAACGUCGUGAGACAGUUC